UUCUAGACUCUGAAGGGACGGUCCCUGCGUCGUCUUCCUAAUGAUCCUCAAAACUAAUUUUCCCGAGCCUAGAGAAGAGCCACAGAUUUAAGAUUCCACCCGCGCUGACUACCUCCCUUUCGGAUAUUUCAGCAUUUUCUUCCAAAUUGAUUAACUGCUGCCUCCUGGUCCUCCCUCUCCACCCCUGCCCUUGCUGCCUUCUCUCGGGGGUUAGGAUAGGGGGUGGGGGAGCUCCUUUACACAGCCAGCUAGGAGCAACUGGCAGCACGGGUAAAGAAGAGCAGUCGUCUAAGUUUGCUUUUGCCACAUCCCAGCUACUACUGUAAUCUUAAGGAACAGUCCGCGAACACGCGCGCACACACACACGCACGCACGCGCGCAUACACACACACACACACACGCACACACACAUGCAUACACAGGUACACAGGCAGUGGCAGCCUGCUCUGCGGCGCACAUCGCGGCAGCUCAGGCAACGCAAAGUUGGUGGUGUGUUCCGUCCAGGCGCUCCCUACCUUCCCAGGCGCUUCGCAGACUCCAGGUAAUGGAUGGAGGGCAGUGAGAGGAUGUGUGUGAACUUUCUGUCAUGAAGGACAAUUUACAGGAACUAAUCAUCCUACAACAGUCGCUCAGAAAAAGGAAAUUCAUCAACCAGGCACCCCGAAUAGCUAUAAAGUUCCUGGUCAGAGGAAGGAGUUGGUCUCUACAGAAAUGUAGCCCAGUGGAAAUCCAUGGACCUACCUUGCAAAGGAGAACCUCUUUGAGUAGGCAGUGUGAAGAUACAAUGAGAAGUCAUCCAUCUGCAAACUAGGAAGAAGGCCGUUGCCAGACACUGGAUCCACUGGCGCAUUGAUCUUGGAUGUCCCAGCCUCCAGAACUGUGAGAAAUAAAUGUUUGUUAU
Long non-coding RNA from Piliocolobus tephrosceles (Ugandan red Colobus), 901 nucleotides. RefSeq lists it as uncharacterized. The transcript is spliced from 4 exons. Lineage: Eukaryota; Metazoa; Chordata; Mammalia; Primates; Cercopithecidae. The record is from RefSeq and is a predicted model, not a curated record.